GACGAACGCUGGCGGCGUGCCUAACACAUGCAAGUCGAGCGGAAAGGCACUGCUUUUGUGGGGGCCUCGAGGGGCGAAGGGGUGUGAAACACGGGUGUAACAUCCCCUUAACUGUGGGAUAACGUCAGGACACGGGGGAUAAUACCGGGUAGGAGCUCCUGCUCCAUGGAGGGGGUUGGAAAGGUUUGGCGGUUGGGGAUGGACUCGCGGCUCAGCAGCUUGUUGGGGGGGUAGUGGCUUACCAAGGCUUUGACGGGUAGCCGGCCUGGGAGGGUGACCGGCCCCAAUGGGACUGCGGUACGGCCCAGAGUGCUACGUGGGGCAGCGGUGGGAAGUGUUACGCAACAGGCGGACGCCUGAUGCAGCGACGCCGCGUUCGGGAUGACGGUCUUCGGGUUAUAAACCGCUGUCGCCUGUGACGAAGCGUGAGUGACGGUAAUGGGUAAAGAAGCACCGGCUAACUACGUG
Molecule: ribosomal RNA, 468 nt
Filed under: uncultured bacterium
Lineage: Bacteria
Description: partial 16S ribosomal RNA
Rfam family: Bacterial small subunit ribosomal RNA
Source: RNAcentral